RNAcentral lists this transfer RNA (77 nucleotides) under Pseudomonadota bacterium. RNAcentral describes it as "tRNA-Val". It matches the Rfam family "tRNA". Rfam says of the family: Transfer RNA (tRNA) molecules are approximately 80 nucleotides in length. Their secondary structure includes four short double-helical elements and three loops (D, anti-codon, and T loops). The record is from RNAcentral. Lineage: Bacteria; Pseudomonadati; Pseudomonadota. RNAcentral also lists the same sequence under 1 other name.
GGGCGGAUAGCUCAGCCGGCCAGAGCGCGUGCCUUACAAGCACGAGGGCGCAGGUUCAAGUCCUGCUCCGCCCACCA